GUCUUCCCGGCCGGGUGGCACUGACCGGUCAUGCUCAGGGCCCCCUUCUGGUUGCCGGUGCCUCACCUCUGGCCAGGUGGCAUCGGCUUCCGGGUAAAUCUGAGCUGCCCAAAGCGAGCCUCCGGAGGCUGCUCCAUCUCCUGGAACGUUUACUCAUUCAGGCCUCUGGACGUCGAUACUGGGGAUGAAAAGUUCAGAAAGUGGACAGGCAGAUUCCUGGUCUUCAGUCCAGACCUACUGAGUUAAAAUAUUGAGGAGAGAUGGAGCUCAACAGAUGCCCUAGGUGACUCUGAUGUGGCCUAAGUCUGGGGAAACAGUACACCCUGCAGUACUUCUCCAACCUAACAGAAAUGCGGAUUCUGAUUCGGUAGGUAUGGGAUGGGGCCCAUGACUCUACAUUUCUAACAGGCUCUCGGGUAUUGCCAAUGCUACCCAUCCCUGGACCAUACUUGGAGUAUGAG
This 461-nucleotide long non-coding RNA is filed under the name Homo sapiens (human). Its description in RNAcentral is "non-protein coding lnc-JMJD7-PLA2G4B-11:1". The record is from RNAcentral. Lineage: Eukaryota; Metazoa; Chordata; Mammalia; Primates; Hominidae.